UGAGGAAUAUUGCUCAAUGGGCGAAAGCCUGAAGCAGCAACGCCGCGUGCGCGAUGAUGGUCUUCGGAUCGUAAAGCGCUUUUGAGAGGGACGAGAUAGGACGGUACCUCUUGAAUAAGUCACGGCUAACUACGUGCCAGCAGCCGCGGUAAAACGUAGGUGGCAAGCGUUAUCCGGAUUCACUGGGCGUAAAGCGCGUGCAGGUGGCUUCGUAAGUUGGACGUUAAAUCUUUCGGCCUAACCGGGAGGUGUCGUUCAAUACUGCGGGGCUUGAGGGUAGAAGAGGGGGGUGGAAUUGCCGGUGUAGUGGUGAAAUGCGUAGAUAUCGGCAGGAACACCUGUGGCGAAAGCGGCCCCCUGGUCUGCUCCUGACACUCAGACGCGAAAGCUAGGGGAGUGAACG
Molecule: ribosomal RNA, 403 nt
Filed under: uncultured bacterium
Lineage: Bacteria
Description: bacterial SSU rRNA
Rfam family: Bacterial small subunit ribosomal RNA
Source: RNAcentral